RNAcentral lists this ribosomal RNA (501 nucleotides) under uncultured bacterium. RNAcentral's name for it is "partial 16S ribosomal RNA". It matches the Rfam family "Bacterial small subunit ribosomal RNA", at positions 30 to 523 of the family's 1533-position model. The record is from RNAcentral.
AUUGAACGCUGGCGGCAUGCCUUACACAUGCAAGUCGAACGGCAGCACGGGUGCUUGCACCUGGUGGCGAGUGGCGAACGGGUGAGUAAUAUAUCGGAACGUACCUUAUUGUGGGGGAUAACGCAGCGAAAGCUGUGCUAAUACCGCAUAAUCCCUAAGGGGGAAAGCGGGGGACCGUAAGGCCUCGCGCAAUUAGAGCGGCCGAUACCUGAUUAGCUAGUUGGUGGGGUAAAGGCUCACCAAGGCAACGAUCAGUAGCUGGUCUGAGAGGACGAUCAGCCACACUGGGACUGAGACACGGCCCAGACUCCUACGGGAGGCAGCAGUGGGGAAUUUUGGACAAUGGGGGCAACCCUGAUCCAGCAAUGCCGCGUGAGUGAAGAAGGCCUUCGGGUUGCAAAGCUCUUUUGUCAGGGAAGAAACAGCAGCUCUAACACAGUUUGCGAAUGACGGUACCUGAAGAAUAAGCACCGGCUAACUACGUGCCAGCCGCCGCCGUAA